This is a non-coding RNA of Chrysemys picta bellii (western painted turtle), 885 nucleotides long. The record is from RefSeq and is a predicted model, not a curated record. NCBI's taxonomy places the organism in Eukaryota, Metazoa, Chordata, Testudines, Emydidae.
UUAGUCUGUAUCUACAAAAACAACAAGGAGUCUGGUGGCACCUUAAAGACUAACAGAUUUAUUUGGGCAUAAGCUUUCGUGAGUAAAAACCUCACUUCUUCGGAUGCAUAAGGACAUGGCAACAUUUCAGCACCAACAGCCUUUAUUCAAGACUAAUGCUCUCAACAAACCUGUCUCUUUAGGGCUCCCGUAUCUUAUACUUCAUGCAUUCUACAGGAGCUGAAUUCAGGAAAGCUAUACUACUGUAAUGAAAACUUUGAAGUCUAUUCAGAGAACUGGCUGACAAAUUUAAUUCUAAUUUAUACCAUGCUGACACUUGCAGGGCAAAAAUGCAGCUGGAAACCUACGGCAGCUCACUGAUUGAGGGGAGUUUCCAUUAAAAGCGGCAAAGCUCUGCCAGUGACCUGCCGUAACACCUUGGGCAAGUCACUUCUCCUCUCUCUGUCUGUUUCCCUCAUCCUCUCUUCUUGAAAAUAGGGAUGAAGAUACCUGCCUUCCUUUGCAGAGCACUCUGACGUCUGCGGAUGAAAAGAUCUAUAUAAGAGUUGAGUAUUAUUGUUAUCCCAUUUUUUAUGUUCAAUGAUAUUCCUUGGACCAUCUAUGAAAUUGCACACUUUCUAUUCUCCUCUUAUGGGCACUUGCAUCCUACUUAAAACCACUCAUGUAAUAGCCUUAAUUGUAGCCAUGAACCCUUUUCAUUGUAAAUACUGUGCAAUCACAUUCUUAUAUGCCUGCACUUAUGCUAAUCUCAGUCAUUUGAUUUCCCUGGGUGAUCCUGAAAGGAUAGUAGCUCUUUCUUACACAUUCAUUAAGGAAAUGACUUUUGUUGUAUAACGCUGGAAAAAACAAACUCUCUUUAUACAAUAAAAUCCUGACUAUGAAUCA